Daphnia pulex (common water flea) is the source of this 1239-nucleotide long non-coding RNA. RefSeq lists it as uncharacterized. The transcript has 4 exons. NCBI's taxonomy places the organism in Eukaryota, Metazoa, Arthropoda, Branchiopoda, Diplostraca, Daphniidae. The record is from RefSeq and is a predicted model, not a curated record.
UUAACCCGUUAUUGGCUGCUACCAUUGAAUCCCUCCAUUUGUCAACAACAAAAAAAAGAGGUUAAAUAUUGUGAUCAUGCUAUCAUCAUUAUGUUGCCUAUAAGACCAAAUGUGGGGCAUCUGGUUAUCCCUCCAAAAUAAGGCAAUGACCACACGUUGAACGCGGAUCAUUCGUUUCGUCAUCAAACUUGACUCAUUCCAUCUUCUGGAUUGCUUAGGAAUGCUGAUUGGUGUUACCUGUCAUUUAGGUAAUGACCGAGAAGAUGCGGCCUACAUGAACAUCCGGGGCCAAACUCGAUAGCUUGAGCAGCCCCUCAAAUACAGAAAAAAAGAAAAAAAAAAGAACAUCAUUUAGGCGGCCAGCAUCAUUCGACUACCCAAUCGGCUUCUAGCCUUCUACUACCCUGCUCUCAACAUAGCACCACAGACUAAGAGGGUAAAGACUACGAUCGGGGAUAGGGCUAAGAGGAAUGCUUGAAGCGAUGCUCGUCCUAUGCCGUAUGGUGGCGCGUCGAGCACACUCUACCAAAGCCAUUAUUUUUCCUUUUUCCCUACUGAUAUGAGUCUUCACACACCGUAAAUUUGUAAGUGAACCAUUAACAUUUCAAUAGUGAAUUUUUGUGUAAAUAUAGCUUAGAUAUCCACCAUGUUGUGUGAAUUUUUUUAAAUUUCUAUGUGAUCUCUAGACACAAUCUAUAAAUUCCUUUAUUAAACCCCCUUUUUGCCCAUUUUCAAGCCCAGGAAACAGCGUUUCAAGAUUUUCUGAAAUGGGCCUGAAAAUCGUGAAACGCUGUUUCCUGGCCCUGAAAAUGGGCAAAAAGGGGGUUUAAUAAAGGAAUUUAUAGAUUGUGUCUAGAGAUCACAUAGAAAUUUGAAAAAAUUCACACAACAUGGGGGAUAUCUAAGCUAUAUUUACACAAAAAUUCACUAUUGAAAUGUUAAUGGUUCACUUACAAAUUUACGGUGUGUGAAGACUCAUAUCAGUAGGGAAAAAGGAAAAAUAAUGGCUUUGGUAGAGUGUGCUCGACGCGCCACCAUACGGCAUAGGACGCGCAUCGCUUCAAGGGGUUUAUAGCCGUUCGUAGUCUUUACCCUCUUAGUCUGUGAUAGCACGGAGUUUCACCCUUUAGAUUUUUGGCUGCUGUUCGCGAUGUCUGAUGGCGUUUCCUUGGACGAGAUGAUGAUUUUGGCGAGAAAAAUAUUGCGAACCUUCAGGUUCCUAAAUUUGCAUGACAGACU